RNAcentral lists this long non-coding RNA (412 nucleotides) under Struthio camelus australis. RNAcentral's name for it is "lncRNA (ENSSCUG00000017392.1)". The record is from RNAcentral. Lineage: Eukaryota; Metazoa; Chordata; Aves; Struthioniformes; Struthionidae.
AAAGGGAGGUAUAAUAUACUUUUACUUUUUCGAACUCCAGCGUUUCAAAUCAUAACUGUAAAAAUAGCAAUUGCUUUCUCUUUAUUUCUUAAGCAGAAUGGAAAAACCUCUUUCUGCGGAUCGGACCUAUCCAGUGACAUGCAUUUCCACCCUCAGUUGGCUCAGAUGUGACAAGCUGAGGAUUCCCAACAAAGUAAGCUGUAGAGGCCACCUGAAGAGGGAUAAUGAAAGUGAUUACAUCAGCAAAGAGCAAGGAACAAUCCAGAUGGCAGCAGCAUCACAAAGUACAGAAAAAAUGAGCACGUGCAGCCCGUUAAGAGUUUCUGGAGAUUCCAGUUGGAGAGGCCUAAUGCAGAUUUCCUAUAGGAGCUUUCUCACCACAGAAAGAGACAAAACAAACAGUGAUUGUUAA